UAUAUUUAUUUAUAGAUAUGAUACUAUGAAAUAGCUUUAUUAUCCCUUGCUAAAAAUGCUUCCUUUUUUGCUUUCUUAGCAGUCAGUGCAAAAAUUCAAGUUAAUAUCAUAAUAUCAUGGUAAAAGCUGCAAGCUCUGAAGUGGUACAGGCUGGCAGGAAGCUCCCAGUGUAUGGUUUGGUGUGAGCAGCACCGAUGUAUUAGGUUUGGCAUAGUAGUACAUGGGUUUUUUUUCUUGUUUUUAGUGGCCAUCUAUGCCAUCUAUGCAUCUAUGCUUAACUUGUUAACAAUUUAUGUUCAUAUGUACGAGGAGGAGGAACAUAAAGAUGAUGUAAGGAUAGACAGGUUUGUAAAACCAGCCAUUUCUUCAAGGGACGGCUGCUGCAGCAAUACCCUGCUUGCACGAUGCCCUAUAUGAGUGUCUGUUUUGAGCGAGUUUUACACGUGACCUGCACCCUGAUCAUGCGUUCUUUUUAGGCUGCACACCCGCCUAUCAGCCUCAUCAGCGUUGAUGCUGUGGACCCACAUCAGUGGUUUCUUGAGCUUUGAGAAAAACCCAGUUCUUGUUCUUAGAUAAAUACAAGAACCCUCUGUUUCAGAGCAGCGUGCAGCCAUGUGCACACUGUGUGUGCCAGAACAGACCCUUUCAAGAGCUCCAGAAGACUUUUUUAGCCUCUUUCUUUCAUCUGCAAGACCAAAAAGGAAAGAGAGGUUUCUGCAACUGGGAAGCAGGAGAAGAGAGUGGAGUGACAAGACUUCACCUGUACCGUAGCUGAUGGUGGGCUCACAGACCAGAACACACACAGCCUAUUGCACAGAUCGGCUUUCCUGGCAGCCCCGGGCAGCACUUGCAGGGACAGAGGUAUGGGACGCCUAAAAAUAGUUACUGAAAGAGACUAAAAGACAAGGACAGCUGGAAAAAACAU
Long non-coding RNA from Melopsittacus undulatus (budgerigar), 925 nucleotides. RefSeq lists it as uncharacterized. The record is from RefSeq and is a predicted model, not a curated record. The transcript is spliced from 3 exons. Lineage: Eukaryota; Metazoa; Chordata; Aves; Psittaciformes; Psittaculidae.